AACGAACGCUGGCGGCAGGCUUAACACAUGCAAGUCGAACGCGUGCAGCAAUGCACGAGUGGCGCACGGGUGAGUAACGAGUGGAUAUCUGCCUUUUGGUUCGGAAUAACCCCGGGAAACUGGGGCUAAUACCGGAUGGUUCCUACGGGAUAAAGAUUUAUCGCCAAAAGAUGAGUCCGCGUCCGAUUAGCUAGUUGGUGAGGUAAUGGCUCACCAAGGCGACGAUCGGUAGCUGGUCUGAGAGGACGAUCAGCCACACUGGGAGUGAGACACGGCCCAGACUCCUACGGGAGGCAGCAGUGGGGAAUAUUGGACAAUGGGGGCAACCCUGAUCCAGCCAUGCCGCGUGAGUGAUGAAGGCCUUCGGGUUGUAAAGCUCUUUUGGCGGGGACGAUGAUGACGGUACCCGCAGAAUAAGCCCCGGCUAACUUCGUG
This 435-nucleotide ribosomal RNA is filed under the name uncultured bacterium. RNAcentral describes it as "partial 16S ribosomal RNA". It matches the Rfam family "Bacterial small subunit ribosomal RNA", at positions 29 to 507 of the family's 1533-position model. The record is from RNAcentral.